CCCAAGUGCAGCCCGGGGCAUCUCUUCUCCGGAGAGCCGCUGGCUGCAGGCGGGCAAUACAGCGGCUGUGCGGCUGGCCGUUGCAUCGAGAGCUUUUCCUCCACCAGCAGCCGCCAUAACUGCGGGGCAACCCAAACUUGUUACACACUGGCACCAACUCCUCCUCCUUCGGUCGCUGCCGCUGCUGCUCCUGCCACCGCCCCCAUUUCCAUUCCCAUCAGCGGCUGCAGGCUGCGCAACCGGGUCCGCUUAACCUACUCCCGGGGAGGGGAGGGGGAGGACCCGAAAAGCGACUGGAGAAGUUGGAGGACGCCAGGCUAGCAGGAAUAUGGUGGAUUCCAUUAUGCGUCUUCUGAUGUACAUGAAAUGACCUCAGAAGAAAAACAGGCACAAUAUGGGUAUGUGCAUGGGAGGCUACCAAGGAAGACUGAGGC
Gekko japonicus is the source of this 434-nucleotide long non-coding RNA. RefSeq lists it as uncharacterized. The record is from RefSeq and is a predicted model, not a curated record. Lineage: Eukaryota; Metazoa; Chordata; Lepidosauria; Squamata; Gekkonidae. The transcript is spliced from 3 exons.